Molecule: ribosomal RNA, 450 nt
Filed under: uncultured bacterium
Lineage: Bacteria
Description: partial 16S ribosomal RNA
Rfam family: Bacterial small subunit ribosomal RNA
Source: RNAcentral
CCUACGGGUGGCUGCAGUAAGGAAUAUUGGUCAAUGGGCGCAAGCCUGAACCAGCCAUGCCGCGUGAAGGAUGACGGCCCUAUGGGUUGUAAACUUCUUUUGUACGGGAAAAAACCACCGGUCGUGUAUCGGUGCUGAUGGUACCGUAAGAAUAAGCAUCGGCUAACUCCGUGCCAGCAGCCGCGGUAAUACGGAGGAUGCAAGCGUUAUCCGGAUUCAUUGGGUGCAGAGGGAGUGCAGGCGGAGUGGUGAAAGCCUACAGCUCAACUGUAGAACUGCCAUUGAUACUGACAUUCUUGAGUAUUGUUGAGGUAGGCGGAAUGUGUCAUGUAGCGGUGAAAUGCUUAGAUAUGACACAGAACACCGAUCGCGAAGGCAGCUUACCAAGCAAUAACUGACGCUCAUGCACGAAAGCGUGGGGAUCAAACAGGAUUAGAUACCCGUGUAUUC